RNAcentral lists this ribosomal RNA (119 nucleotides) under Gossypium arboreum. The record is from RNAcentral. Lineage: Eukaryota; Viridiplantae; Streptophyta; Magnoliopsida; Malvales; Malvaceae.
AGGUGCGAUGAUACUAGCUCUAAUGCAUCGGAUCCCAUUAGAACUCUCCAGUUAAAUGUGCUUGAGAGAGAGUAGUACUAGGAUGGGUGACCUCCUAGGAAGUCCUCGUGUUGCACCCU